Molecule: transfer RNA, 86 nt
Filed under: Holosporaceae bacterium
Lineage: Bacteria; Pseudomonadati; Pseudomonadota; Alphaproteobacteria; Holosporales; Holosporaceae
Description: tRNA-Leu
Rfam family: tRNA
About the family: Transfer RNA (tRNA) molecules are approximately 80 nucleotides in length. Their secondary structure includes four short double-helical elements and three loops (D, anti-codon, and T loops).
Source: RNAcentral
GCCCGUGUGGCGGAAUGGUAGACGCGGCAGACUCAAAAUCUGUUGUUUGCAAAGACUUGGGGGUUCAAGUCCCUCCACGGGUACCA